AUGGAUUGUAGCCUUCACAUUAUGGAAGGUAGUCUCUUGUCGAUAUCUUUGUUACUCCAAUGGAUGGUAGCCUUGUCAUUCGGAAGGAAGUCUGUCGUUGUGAUAUCUGAUACUCCAAUGGAUGGUAGCCUUGUCAUUAUGGAAGAUAGUAUGUUGCCAAUAUUUUUGUUACUCCAAUGGAUUGUAGCCUUCACAUUAUGGAAGGUAGUCUCUUGUCAAUAUCUUUGUUACUCCAAUGGAUGGUAG
Molecule: non-coding RNA, 246 nt
Organism: Vicia faba (fava bean)
Lineage: Eukaryota; Viridiplantae; Streptophyta; Magnoliopsida; Fabales; Fabaceae
Source: the annotation of a GenBank genome assembly